CUGGCUCAGGACGAACGCUGGCGGCGUGCCUAAUACAUGCAAGUCGAGCGGAGUUUAUCGGGAGCUUGCUCCUGAUAAACUUAGCGGCGGACGGGUGAGUAACACGUAGGCAACCUGCCCGUAAGACUGGGAUAACUACCGGAAACGGUAGCUAAUACCGGAUACGCAAGUCUCUCGCAUGAGGGACUUGGGAAAGGCGGAGCAAUCUGUCACUUACGGAUGGGCCUGCGGCGCAUUAGCUAGUUGGUGGGGUAACGGCUCACCAAGGCGACGAUGCGUAGCCGACCUGAGAGGGUGAACGGCCACACUGGGACUGAGACACGGCCCAGACUCCUACGGGAGGCAGCAGUAGGGAAUCUUCCGCAAUGGACGAAAGUCUGACGGAGCAACGCCGCGUGAGUGAUGAAGGUUUUCGGAUCGUAAAGCUCUGUUGCCAGGGAAGAACGUCCGUUAGAGUAACUGCUAACGGAGUGACGGUACCUGAGAAGAAAGCCCCGGCUAACUACGUGCCAGCAGCCGCGGUAAUACGUAGGGGGCGAGCGUUGUCCGGAAUUAUUGGGCGUAAAGCGCGCGCAGGCGGCUGUUUAAGUCUGGUGUUUAAUCCUGGGGCUCAACCCCGGGUCGCACUGGAAACUGGGCAGCUUGAGUGCAGAAGAGGAGAGUGGAAUUCCACGUGUAGCGGUGAAAUGCGUAGAGAUGUGGAGGAACACCAGUGGCGAAGGCGACUCUCUGGGCUGUAAC
Molecule: ribosomal RNA, 741 nt
Filed under: Paenibacillus barengoltzii
Lineage: Bacteria; Bacillati; Bacillota; Bacilli; Caryophanales; Paenibacillaceae
Description: bacterial SSU rRNA
Rfam family: Bacterial small subunit ribosomal RNA
Source: RNAcentral